Molecule: ribosomal RNA, 460 nt
Filed under: uncultured bacterium
Lineage: Bacteria
Description: partial 16S ribosomal RNA
Rfam family: Bacterial small subunit ribosomal RNA
Source: RNAcentral
CCUACGGGAGGCAGCAGUGAGGAAUAUUGGUCAAUGGGCGUAAGCCUGAACCAGCCAAGUCGCGUGAGGGAUGAAGGUACUAUGGAUCGUAAACCUCUUUUAUAAGGGAAUAAAGUGUGGGACGUGUCCUCGUUUGUAUGUACCUUAUGAAUAAGGAUCGGCUAACUCCGUGCCAGCAGCCGCGGUAAUACGGAGGAUCCGAGCGUUAUCCGGAUUUAUUGGGUUUAAAGGGUGCGUAGGCGGUCUUUUAAGUCAGCGGUGAAAGUCCGUGGCUCAACCAUAGCAUUGCCGUUGAAACUGGGAGGCUUGAGUAUGUGUGAGGCAGGCGGAAUGCGUGGUGUAGCGGUGAAAUGCUUAGAUAUCGCGCAGAACCCCGAUUGCGAAGGUAGCAUGCCGGGCCAUGACUGACGCUGAAGCACGAAAGCGUAGGGAGCGAACGGGAUUAGAUACCCUUGUAGUC